This 253-nucleotide ribosomal RNA is filed under the name uncultured bacterium. RNAcentral's name for it is "partial 16S ribosomal RNA". It matches the Rfam family "Bacterial small subunit ribosomal RNA", at positions 524 to 776 of the family's 1533-position model. The record is from RNAcentral.
UACGAAGGACCCGAGCGUUAUCCGGAUUUAUUGGGUUUAAAGGGUGCGUAGGCGGAUUUACAAGUCAGUGGUGAAAUCUCCCGGCUUAACCGGGAAACUGCCAUUGAAACUGUUUAUCUUGAGUACAUUUGAGGCGGGCGGAAUGUGUCAUGUAGAGGUGAAAUUCUUAGAUAUGACACAGAACACCAAUUGCGAAGGCAGCUCGCUAAACUGUAACUGACGCUGAGGCACGAAAGUGUGGGGAUCAAACAGG